UUUUAUCUUUUCAGAGUUGAAGUCGGUGAAGACAUUUCAUGAUUGAAACACCAGAUCCUGAAAGGCGUUAAAUCUACUUUGAAAUCAAUCUGCAAUCAAUAUUUCAAAGCUUUUCUGACACGUCACCUUCACUUUGGGAUGUGGAAUUUGCUAAGCAGUUAGCCACAGUAAAUGAACAACCCCUUCAGAAUGGGUUUGAAGAGCUGAUCCUGUGGACAAAAGAGGGGAAACUGUGGGAGUUCCCAAUUAACCAUGAAGCAGGUCUGGACACUAGGAAGUCCAAGAUGAAGGCACUGGCAGGUCCAUUUAUCUGGUGAGGGUCUAGUCUGUGCUUCCAAGAUGGCGCCUUGACUGUUGCAUCCUUGAGGAGUGGGGGAAGAAUGCUGUGUCCUCAUAACAGAAGGCAGAAGAAAAAAGAGGGAUGAACUCCCUCUUUCAAGCCCUUUUAUAAGGGCAUCUAAUCCCAUUCACAAGAUAGGAGCCCUCGUGGCCUAAUCACCUUUUAAAGGCCCCACCUCUUAAUACCAUCACAUUAGCAACACCUAAGUUUUGGAGGAGACACAUUCAAACCAUAGCAGGUAUAAAA
Symphalangus syndactylus (siamang) is the source of this 586-nucleotide long non-coding RNA. RefSeq lists it as uncharacterized. The record is from RefSeq and is a predicted model, not a curated record. Lineage: Eukaryota; Metazoa; Chordata; Mammalia; Primates; Hylobatidae.